GUGAAUCAUCGAAUCUUUGAACGCAAAUUGCACUCUCCUCUGAGAGUAUGCCUGUUUGAGUGUCAGCCUAUAAAAAAUCGACAUCGUUUCGGUUUCGCUGUGGCGGGCGGCGGAAAUGGGGUCAUCUUAGAUCAUUUGGAUUUAAGCGACUUAAAAUGUGCUUUUGGUGCCAGGAAAGUUUCUAAGAUCU
RNAcentral lists this unclassified non-coding RNA (190 nucleotides) under Glomeraceae sp. Its description in RNAcentral is "partial contains 5.8S ribosomal RNA and internal transcribed spacer 2". The stretch from base 1 to 65 matches the Rfam family "5.8S ribosomal RNA", at positions 84 to 154 of the family's 154-position model. The record is from RNAcentral. Lineage: Eukaryota; Fungi; Glomeromycota; Glomeromycetes; Glomerales; Glomeraceae.